RNAcentral lists this ribosomal RNA (253 nucleotides) under uncultured bacterium. RNAcentral describes it as "partial 16S ribosomal RNA". It matches the Rfam family "Bacterial small subunit ribosomal RNA", at positions 524 to 776 of the family's 1533-position model. RNAcentral also lists the same sequence under 1 other name. The record is from RNAcentral.
UACGGAGAGUGCAAACGUUGUUCGGAUUCACUGGGCGUAAAGGGCACGUAGGCGGCUCGGCAAAUCGGUCGUGGAAUCCCGACGCUUACCGUCGGAACGGCGGCCGAAAAUACCGGGCUCGAGGGCGUGAGGGGUCACUGGAACUCCUGGUGAAGCGGUGAAAUGCGUAGAUAUCAGGAGGAACGCCGGAGGCGAAAGCGAGUGACUGGCGCGUUCCUGACGCUGAGGUGCGAAAGCUAGGGGAGCAAACAGG